CGGCCAGGUUGAACACCAUGGCGCUGGAGUCCCGCUCGCUGUACUUCGUGGAGGAGGUGAUGGCGUCGAAGAGGUCGCCACCCUGAAGGAGGCGGAGGCGUCUGCUGUUUUGCUGCAGUGCGUGAGCAAGUCGUCCUGAGCGUAGCGAAACUUCUCCGGCCCGCACGCCAUGAACACGUCGUCAUCCCCGAAGAAAUCCUGCAGACAGAAGUUGGGGCUUUUAUUGUGACACAUGGAUGAAGAGGCCCGACCCUCCCUCAGUGUGUCUGUGGGGCGGGGGGUCGACAGCUGGGACCCGAAGCAGCCAGACCGCCCCGCCCUUUACUGUCAACAAAACCAGUCAAC
Molecule: long non-coding RNA, 345 nt
Organism: Sebastes umbrosus (honeycomb rockfish)
Lineage: Eukaryota; Metazoa; Chordata; Actinopteri; Perciformes; Sebastidae
Exons: 3
Source: RefSeq, a predicted model, not a curated record